AUGACGUGUCCAUGAAUGCCUUGCAGGGAUCGAUUGCGGAACGGACGCGCGCCAGCUUCACGGCGGGCUGCGAUGUCGUUCUGCAUUGCAAUGGCAAGCUCGACGAGAUGAGCCAGGUUGCGGGCGAAGCGCCUGNNNNNUCGCCGGCAUGGCGCUGGCGCGGGCGGAUGGUGCCCUGGCGUUGCGCAGAACGCCGCAGCCCUUCGAUCG
RNAcentral lists this unclassified non-coding RNA (210 nucleotides) under Hevea brasiliensis (rubber tree). Lineage: Eukaryota; Viridiplantae; Streptophyta; Magnoliopsida; Malpighiales; Euphorbiaceae. The record is from RNAcentral.